Molecule: ribosomal RNA, 197 nt
Filed under: uncultured bacterium
Lineage: Bacteria
Description: partial 16S ribosomal RNA
Rfam family: Bacterial small subunit ribosomal RNA
Source: RNAcentral
ACGCUCGACACCUACGGGGGCAGCAGUGGGGAAUAUUGCACAAUGGGGGAAACCCUGAUGCAGCGACGCCGCGUGAGCGAAGAAGUAUUUCGGUAUGUAAAGCUCUAUCAGCAGGGAAGAAACUGACGGUACCUGACUAAGAAGCACCGGCUAAAUACGUGCCNGCAGCCGCGGUAAUCUGAGCGGGCUGGCAAGGC